UUUAUGCUGCAUCGUAUUCUUUCAUUAAACAAGUGGAGGAAAUUAAGAAAUAGACUACAGCUCUGGUGGGUAUUAAAAUCUGUCCAAUAAGAUAAGUCGAAUAGCUAACUGUCAGGAGAGUUAGGCUGAGCAAAGAAAAGGGCCGCCAUAUUAAAAUUGGAAAAUUGACUACUUAUUUGAUAAUUAUCAGCCUUGGGCUACCUAUGGUAGAAGUGAUCUCAGCUAUUGGGGAGACUGAGGCAAGCACAUCUCUUGGACUUGGAAGCUGAGCUUCAUUGGGCUAUUGUCAAUCAGGUAGUAAUUCCUUAGGGGUAAAUUUUGCAUCAAUACCUAUAUAGAGCCCCUGAGCUCCACCAGUCUUGUUCAGGUCAGAAACAGAGCAUGUUAAAGCUUCCAGGCUUAUCAGUGCUGAGAUAUGACCUACAAGAAUAGCCUAAGAGAGCCGGGGAUGAUCCAAUCUUAAAAAAACAAAACAGAACAGAAUCCACCCCUCCCCCAUCAAAUAAAUAAAUGCCUUAAUUAUGCUAAUGGCCUAGUUGUAAACUGAGAGAAUAAAAGACCAAUCCAAGGAUGGCAAAAUACAGUCCAGGUCUUGCCUUUCCACCCUUCCCAGCAACCAAGAAAAUUGAAGCAUGAUGGGAAAGUGAAAAUCUAGAAUUUGUCUGGAAUUUACAUAUCACAGGACCAAAAACCUUGAUGGCAGUGGCUGAGAUGGCUUCACUUGUUUCAGUACAUAUUACUGGAACUGGUCAGCAACUACAAGUCAAUGAAUAAACAAUUGCAAAAGCCCCAAGCAACAGGACUGUCAAUAUGGUCAUCAGUGAAGCGUGAAGAAUCUGAAUCUUGUUUUUCAUAAAUUACUUAAAUCAUUUUUGUUCUUUGAUAUAUUUGCUUCAUACUAAUUCAUACCAUCAUAUUCUCCCCAUGCAUGAUGCAUCUGUAAAUUGGAAAAACCGUUUUAUCUUGAAAGUAGGAUGUCACCGUAAACAAGUUAUCAUCAGUUAAAUUGAGCCACCUACUAUGCCAGUAAUUUCCUUAAUUUAUUUAGAAAAUGCAUUCAGCACAUAAAGAUCCCCAGGUUCAAAUACAAAGAAUUGAAAGAAGUGAAUAUUUAAAGCAAUGAUGGGACAAUUUCCCAGGAUACUGAAUCUUUCUGAGUCAUAUUAAUAAAGCUUUGCCUUAAUAAGACAAAUAAAUUAAGAGGUCCAAACACAAAGACUAUCCCUGAAUGUCCUUCCUUUUGGAUUUCUUUGAAUCACAGUGGUAGUCUAGCCAUUGUUAGAUAAUAUUCAGCAUUAUCUACUUUUCAACUUAUGUUAAUGGCCUUGCAUAGAAACUUGACAUUUCAGUGCUUAGUUGAGAAUGAAUUCGUUGUGGACUGUGCUAUAUAGCAAAGGCAGAAUUCUUGCUAGAACUAGGCUAUUUGUUAAAGGCCCAUGGGACUGGUGGGAUUUUGAAAUUUCAAAAAUUCCUAAUUCUCUGGGGCCAGAGGUUUAUUAAAUACCUUCUUAUUAAAUUCCUAUUAAAUUCCCUUCAGGGAGAUUGAGUUAUUUUGGAAUGAGAAUACAAAAUAGGGACUGCAGAAAAUUCUGUUUGGUAAUGGGACUGAUUAUGCUGAGUUCUAUGAAAGAGGAGAGGAAGAUGUGGUUGAGAAGGAACUCUAGUCUGUGUCAGAACCUGGCAGAAACACAAGGAGAGACAAGGAGUUAAUAGCCAGUAGCUUUGGUCAGAAGGAUUUAGGAAGUUGCACAUGUCAAAGACAUCAACAUCAGCUAGAGAUCAGGCAGUGUAAAUGAGGUGCUGGGGCUAGAGCUGGAAAUAGGUAAAGACUGAAACCAAAUUGAAGCCAGUUUGAUUACUGAGAGAUAGGAUAAAAUCCAACAGGAUGUUAAAAAGAGGCAGAAUGAAUGAAUGAAAAAGCUUUUCUUAAACAUUUACUAUAUACAAAGCAAAAACCUUAAACUUAGAAGCAAGGUAUAAAAAAUUACUGAAAUCCAUGAUAAAAAAGACCUCGUACUGAAGUGGGUCCCUCUUGAUACAGAAAGGAGGAAACCCAGAUCUGGUAAGCCUUCUCACUGUGCCCAUCACCUCGAAGUCUGUGGAUGUCUGUGUCUGAGGAGUCAUUGUUCACCGUUUCCUUUGGAAGUAUCAGGUCCCUAGCUUAACUUUAUAAGAGAAACCACUAUAUGGAAAGUCAGAAUUCUGACCUCACAGUUACUUACUGUAGGGGUAAGAAAUGAGGAUAAGGGAAUAUUUCAGGGGGGAUAUUACCUAUUCAAAAGCCACUCAAUUCAAAAUAAUCUGUGCCAACGAAACAAUACUGGUAAAGGUUGUUGCUGCAAGUACCAUCACUACUGAAGAUUCACUUGUGAAUGCCCUCCACAGGUGGCUGGAGGUGAGAAACUCUUCACAGUCCUAGGAAGAACAUCCAUCUCAGUCAAGUCCAUCCUCCUCUAUCAUAUGGAUAAUUAUGCUCUGUCCUUCAAUAAACUUGAAUAUGUCAGUUAUACAUUGAAUUACUUUUUUUAGU
Molecule: long non-coding RNA, 2530 nt
Organism: Sarcophilus harrisii (Tasmanian devil)
Lineage: Eukaryota; Metazoa; Chordata; Mammalia; Dasyuromorphia; Dasyuridae
Exons: 4
Source: RefSeq, a predicted model, not a curated record